AUUUCACGAUUUUUAACCCCAUCUUAGUCCUUAUUACAGUUGGUUACAUUUAUGAGACCUUAGUAGAGUAGGGGGUACCUAUUGUUACGUCAUAUAUUUUACUCAUACAAUUUUAUGUCCAUUUAAAUUAC
Melitaea cinxia (Glanville fritillary) is the source of this 131-nucleotide long non-coding RNA. RefSeq lists it as uncharacterized. NCBI's taxonomy places the organism in Eukaryota, Metazoa, Arthropoda, Insecta, Lepidoptera, Nymphalidae. The transcript is spliced from 2 exons. The record is from RefSeq and is a predicted model, not a curated record.